Molecule: ribosomal RNA, 497 nt
Filed under: uncultured bacterium
Lineage: Bacteria
Description: partial 16S ribosomal RNA
Rfam family: Bacterial small subunit ribosomal RNA
Source: RNAcentral
GAUGAACGCUGGCGGCGUGCCUAAUACAUGCAAGUCGAGCGAACGGACGAGAAGCUUGCUUCUCUGAUGUUAGCGGCGGACGGGUGAGUAACACGUGGAUAACCUACCUAUAAGACUGGGAUAACUUCGGGAAACCGGAGCUAAUACCGGAUGAUAUUUUGAACCGCAUGGUUCAAAAGUGAAAGACGGUCUUGCUGUCACUUAUAGAUGGAUCCGCGCUGCAUUAGCUAGUUGGUAAGGUAACGGCUUACCAAGGCAACGAUGCAUAGCCGACCCGAGAGGGUGAUCGGCCACACUGGAACUUAGACACGGUCCAGAAUCCUACGGGAGGCAGCAGUAGGGAAUCUUCCGCAAUGGGCGAAAGCCUGACGGAGCAACGCCGCGUGAGUGAUGAAGGUCUUCGGAUCGUAAAACUCUGUUAUUAGGGAAGAACAUAUGUGUAAGUAACUGUGCACAUCUUGACGGUACCUAAUCAGAAAGCCACGGCUAACUACGUG